UAGUCCACGCCGUAAACGAUGGAUACUAGUUGUUGGGGUUUACCUCAGUGACUAAGCGAAAGUGAUAAGUAUCCCACCUGGGGAGUACGUUCGCAAGGAUGAAACUCAAAGGAAUUGACGGGGGCCCGCACAAGCGGUGGAGCAUGUGGUUUAAUUCGAUGAUACGCGAGGAACCUUACCUGGGCUUAAAUGUAGAGUACAUGAAUGGGAAACCAUUCUUUCCUUCGGGACUCUUUACAAGGUGCUGCAUGGUUGUCGUCAGCUCGUGCCGUGAGGUGUCGGGUUAAGUCCCAUAACGAGCGCAACCCCUAUUCUUAGUUGCCAUCAGGUCAUGCUGGGGACUCUAAGAAAACUGCCGGCGCAAGCCGUGAGGAAGGUGGGGAUGACGUCAAAUCAGCAGGCCCUUAUGUCCAGGGGCUACACACGUGCUACAAUGGUCGAUACAAAGGGGCAGGCUACCUGGUGACAGGAUGGCUAAUCUCUAAAAUCGGGUCUCAGUUCGAAUCGGGAGUCUGCAA
This 518-nucleotide ribosomal RNA is filed under the name uncultured bacterium. RNAcentral describes it as "bacterial SSU rRNA". It matches the Rfam family "Bacterial small subunit ribosomal RNA", at positions 791 to 1310 of the family's 1533-position model. The record is from RNAcentral.